AUUGCUGUCUGCCGACAGCACCACCUGAGCUGUGAAGGACGCUAUGAACGUGGUAGGGCUGAGAGCUCAGACCGAGAGAGGGAGAGCACCAUGCAGCUUCUCAGCCUGGUGCAGCAUGGUCAGGGGGCAAGGAAGGCUAGCAAACAUGCUAAGGCUACAGUCGCGACUGCCACUACCACAGCUCCUCCACCGCCCCCUACUGCCCCUCCUGUGGCCUCCCAAGCGGCAGCCACGGCCCCACCACCUCCACCAGACUAUCACCAUCACCAUCAGCAGCACCGGCUGACCAGUAAUGAUAACGGUGGGAUAAACCGAGAGCAGCCGCCAGCUUCGACCCCGGGGGACCAGCGGAACUCAGCCCUGCUUGCG
Molecule: long non-coding RNA, 369 nt
Filed under: Mus musculus (house mouse)
Lineage: Eukaryota; Metazoa; Chordata; Mammalia; Rodentia; Muridae
Description: long non-coding RNA chr9:13298192-13298561
Source: RNAcentral